Molecule: transfer RNA, 77 nt
Filed under: Candidatus Woesebacteria bacterium
Lineage: Bacteria; Candidatus Woeseibacteriota
Also listed under: 3 other names
Description: tRNA-Asp
Rfam family: tRNA
About the family: Transfer RNA (tRNA) molecules are approximately 80 nucleotides in length.
Source: RNAcentral
GGCCCUGUGGUGUAGUUGGUUAACAUAUCUCCCUGUCACGGAGAAGAUCGCCGGUUCGAGCCCGGUCGGGGUCGCCA